RNAcentral lists this microRNA (22 nucleotides) under Cordylochernes scorpioides. Lineage: Eukaryota; Metazoa; Arthropoda; Arachnida; Pseudoscorpiones; Chernetidae. The record is from RNAcentral.
CGCUAUAAGCUGUGGUAACUGG